UUUACUGCUUAUGAGCAUUGAGUGUGGUCAAGCUGUGUAGACCCUUAGGAGCUUGUCAUGUGGUUAAAUCAAGAUUUCACUUGCACGUUCACUCGUAUAUGCUACUUCUACUCUGGAAGUACCAUCCACAUAUAUCCAUCCAUUUCCAUCUCCAGAAUCACCCAAAAAUAUUCUACUCCUAAUCCGGGAGAGAAUGGCCAAAAAUAUUUCUGUUUUCCCUUGUGAAAUAAAUGCUCCAGUUAUCUUGUUACUACCACUUGCUAUAUUAUGAGUGCUCUAAAAAAAAUAUAAAUACGAGGAAAUAAAAAGGAGCAAGUGCUCGGAACCUCGAAAGAAAGAAAAGAAAAAGUAAGACGAGAGGUAAAAAUGGACAAGUGUCCGACAGUAGAAUUAGGGGUACAAGAUACCCACCUGAGAGAAAAGAAAAGAAGAGCAUCUCAUUCUCCUCAUAAAGUUUCAAAAAGCAGGGAAGGUAUGUAUUCCCUCAAAGAGUAAAGUAGAAUUAGACUUCCACCACCAUUUUUUUCACCAUUGUUAUCACCAUCAUCACCAUACACCAUUCAUCCACCACACAUGCACAUCUUGAUUUGACUUAUUGAUUUGUUUCUUUGGAUCCAUGGUUUGACUAUGCAAUAAAUGUCUUGUAAGUAUGUAUAUUUUAUCUCCCACCUAUGAGCUCCAGAUAUUAAAGCCUUAUUAGAGUAGGGUGAGAGAGAAGGCAAUGUCACUAUGCUUUAUACGACAAAUACUACAUAUCUUGAGAGAAGGCAUAUACCAUCACUGCCUUGGUAAGGAUCUAGAAAUACCACAAAAGAG
This 816-nucleotide long non-coding RNA is filed under the name Sorghum bicolor (sorghum). Its description in RNAcentral is "long non-coding RNA (SBIC_LNC010907)". Lineage: Eukaryota; Viridiplantae; Streptophyta; Magnoliopsida; Poales; Poaceae. The record is from RNAcentral.